UCCGAAUGGGGAAACCCACUGCUUCGGCAGUAUCCUGCAGUGAAUUCAUAGCUGCUGGAAGCGAACCCGGUGAACUGAAAUAUCUAAGUAACCGGAGGAAAAGAAAUCAACCGAGAUUCCCUAAGUAGUGACGAGCGAACGGGGAACAGCCCUUAAGCUGGAAUGGCUUUAGAAAAACAAUCUGGAAAGAUUGGCCAUAGAAGGUGAUAGCCCUGUAUUUAAAAGGGCCACUCCAGUGAAGACGAGUAGGGCGGGGCACGUGAAACCCUGUCUGAAUAUGGGGGGACCAUCCUCCAAGGCUAAAUACUCCUGACCGACCGAUAGUGAACCAGUACCGUGAGGGAAAGGCGAAAAGAACCCCGGAGAGGGGAGUGAAAUAGAUCCUGAAACCGUGUGCGUACAAGCAGUAGGAGCUCGCAAGAGUGACUGCGUACCUUUUGUAUAAUGGGUCAGCGACUUACUGUUCGUGGCAAGCUUAACCGUAUAGGGGAGGCGAAGGGAAACCGAGUCUGAUAAGGGCGCAUAGUCGCGGGCAGUAGACCCGAAACCGGGUGAUCUAGUCAUGGCCAGGGUGAAGGUGCCGUAACAGGUACUGGAGGCCCGAACCCACGUCUGUUGCAAAAGACGGGGAUGAGCUGUGAUUAGGAGUGAAAAGCUAAUCGAACCCGGAGAUAGCUGGUUCUCCUCGAAAGCUAUUUAGGUAGCGCCUCGGACGAAUACUACUGGGGGUAGAGCACUGUUAUGGCUAGGGGGUCAUCGCGACUUACCAAACCAUUGCAAACUCCGAAUACCAGUACGUACUAUCCGGGAGACACACGGCGGGUGCUAACGUCCGUCGUGAAAAGGGAAACAACCCAGACCCACAGCUAAGGUCCCAAAUUCACUGCUAAGUGGAAAACGAUGUGGAAAGGCAUAGACAGCCAGGAGGUUGGCUUAGAAGCAGCCACCCUUUAAAGAAAGCGUAAUAGCUCACUGGUCGAGUCGGUCUGCGCGGAAGAUUUAACGGGGCUAAGCAGUGAACCGAAGCUUGGGGUGCAUAAAACUUGUUUUAUGCGCGGUAGAGGAGCGUUCCGUAAGCCUGCGAAGGUGGAUUGAGAAGUCUGCUGGAGGUAUCGGAAGUGCGAAUGCUGACAUGAGUAACGAUAAUGCGGGUGAAAAGCCCGCACGCCGAAAGCCCAAGGUUUCCUUGCGCAACGUUAAUCGACGCAGGGUUAGUCGGUCCCUAAGGCGAGGGCGAAAGCCGUAGUCGAUGGGAAGCAGGUUAAUAUUCCUGCACCUCGCGUGAGUGCGAUGGAGGGACGGAGAAGGUUAGGUGUACCGGGCGUUGGUUGUCCCGGGGAAAGGCGGUAGGUUUGGAUCUUUGGCAAAUCCGGGAUCCUUUAAGACCGAGCACCGAGACGAGCCUUUAUGGCGAAGUCACUGAUACCACGCUUCCAGGAAAAGCUCCUAAGCUUCAGCUCACGAAGACCGUACCGUAAACCGACACAGGUGGGUAGGAUGAGAAUUCUCAGGCGCUUGAGAGAACUCGGGUGAAGGAACUAGGCAACAUGGCACCGUAACUUCGGGAGAAGGUGCACCCUUUUUGGUGGCUCGUGCGAGCUAUAGCUGAAGAGGGUCGCAGAAACCAGGCCGCUGCGACUGUUUAUCAAAAACACAGCACUCUGCAAACACGAAAGUGGACGUAUAGGGUGUGACGCCUGCCCGGUGCUGGAAGGUUAAUUGAUGGGGUCAGCCGCAAGGCGAAGCUCUUGAUCGAAGCCCCAGUAAACGGCGGCCGUAACUAUAACGGUCCUAAGGUAGCGAAAUUCCUUGUCGGGUAAGUUCCGACCUGCACGAAUGGCGUAACGACAGCGGCGCUGUCUCCACCCGAGACUCAGUGAAAUUGAAAUCGCUGUGAAGAUGCAGCGUUCCCGUGGCAAGACGGAAAGACCCCGUGAACCUUUACUAUAGCUUUACACUGAACGUUGAGUUCGUCUGUGUAGGAUAGGUGGGAGGCUAUGAAACUGUGGCGCUAGCUGCAGUGGAGCCAUCCUUGAAAUACCACCCUGUCGUGCUUGACGUUCUAACCUAGAUCCGUUAUCCGGAUCAGGGACCGUGUAUGGUGGGUAGUUUGACUGGGGCGGUCUCCUCCUAAAGAGUAACGGAGGAGCACGAAGGUACGCUCAGCGCGGUCGGACAUCGCGCACUGUGUGCAAAGGCAUAAGCGUGCUUGACUGCAAGAUCGACGGAUCAAGCAGGUACGAAAGUAGGUCUUAGUGAUCCGGUGGUUCUGUAUGGAAGGGCCAUCGCUCAACGGAUAAAAGGUACUCCGGGGAUAACAGGCUGAUACCGCCCAAGAGUUCAUAUCGACGGCGGUGUUUGGCACCUCGAUGUCGGCUCAUCACAUCCUGGGGCUGUAGUCGGUCCCAAGGGUAUGGCUGUUCGCCAUUUAAAGUGGUACGCGAGCUGGGUUCAGAACGUCGUGAGACAGUUCGGUCCCUAUCUGCCAUGGGCGUUGGAAGUUUGAGAGGGGCUGCUCCUAGUACGAGAGGACCGGAGUGGACGAACCUCUGGUGUUCCGGUUGUCACGCCAGUGGCAUUGCCGGGUAGCUAUGUUCGGAAGCGAUAACCGCUGAAAGCAUCUAAGCGGGAAGCGCGCCUCAAGAUGAGACUUCCCGGGGCACAAGCCCCCUAAAGGAACCAUGUAGACUACGUGGUUGAUAGGUCAGGUGUGU
Molecule: ribosomal RNA, 2714 nt
Filed under: Xanthomonas cucurbitae
Lineage: Bacteria; Pseudomonadati; Pseudomonadota; Gammaproteobacteria; Lysobacterales; Lysobacteraceae
Description: bacterial LSU rRNA
Rfam family: Bacterial large subunit ribosomal RNA
Source: RNAcentral